RNAcentral lists this transfer-messenger RNA (260 nucleotides) under Piscirickettsiaceae bacterium. RNAcentral describes it as "partial transfer-messenger RNA". It matches the Rfam family "transfer-messenger RNA", at positions 1 to 255 of the family's 374-position model. From Rfam's summary of the family: Bacterial tmRNA, also known as 10Sa RNA or SsrA, is named for its dual tRNA and mRNA-like properties. Its role is to liberate the mRNA from a stalled ribosome. To accomplish this part of the tmRNA is used as a reading frame that ends in a translation stop signal. The record is from RNAcentral. Lineage: Bacteria; Pseudomonadati; Pseudomonadota; Gammaproteobacteria; Thiotrichales; Piscirickettsiaceae.
GGGGGCGAUCUGGCUUCGACGUGGGUAGCAAAACCUAAGGUGCAUGCCGAGCUUUCAGGAAUCUCGUAAAACAUCUGAAAAUAUAUAGUUGCAAACGACGACAACUACGCAAUCGCUGCUUAAGAACCAGUAAGAUUGCUGUCUGACUGGAGCCGUGCUUAUGCGUCCAGCGAUCUUCGGAUCAUCUCAGGCAUCAUAGCUCAUAAGAUCGUAGUGAAGCUCGUUCGGGGCAGAUCUACUAAAACUUAACCGAAAUCGUU